Molecule: ribosomal RNA, 399 nt
Filed under: uncultured bacterium
Lineage: Bacteria
Description: bacterial SSU rRNA
Rfam family: Bacterial small subunit ribosomal RNA
Source: RNAcentral
GGAAUCUUCCACAAUGGGCGAAAGCCUGAUGGAGCAACGCCGCGUGCAGGAUGAAGGCCUUCGGGUCGUAAACUGCUUUUAUGAGUGAAGAAUAUGACGGUAACUCAUGAAUAAGCACCGGCUAACUACGUGCCAGCAGCCGCGGUCAUACGUAGGGUGCAAGCAUUAUCCGGAGUGACUGGGCGUAAAGAGUUGCGUAGGUGGUUAGUAAAGUGAAUAGUGAAAUCUGGGGGCUCAACCUCACAGACUAUUAUUCAAACUCACUAACUCGAGAGUGGUAGAGGUAACUGGAAUUUCUAGUGUAGGAGUGAAAUCCGUAGAUAUUAGAAGGAACACCAAUGGCGUAGGCAGGUUACUGGACCAUUUCUGACACUAAGGCACGAAAGCGUGGGGAGCGAA